RNAcentral lists this ribosomal RNA (710 nucleotides) under Roseovarius sp. Its description in RNAcentral is "bacterial SSU rRNA". It matches the Rfam family "Bacterial small subunit ribosomal RNA", at positions 34 to 795 of the family's 1533-position model. The record is from RNAcentral. Lineage: Bacteria; Pseudomonadati; Pseudomonadota; Alphaproteobacteria; Rhodobacterales; Roseobacteraceae.
CGCAGGGCGGCAGCUACCAUGCAGUCGAGCGAGAACUUCGGUUCUAGCGGCGGACGGGUUAGUAACGCGUGGGAACGUGCCCUUCACUACGGAAUAGUCCCGGGAAACUGGGUUUAAUACCGUAUACGCCCUUCGGGGGAAAGAAUUUCGGUGAAGGAUCGGCCCGCGUUAGAUUAGAUAGUUGGUGGGGUAACGGCCUACCAAGUCUACGAUCUAUAGCUGGUUUUAGAGGAUGAUCAGCAACACUGGGACUGAGACACGGCCCAGACUCCUACGGGAGGCAGCAGUGGGGAAUCUUAGACAAUGGGCGCAAGCCUGAUCUAGCCAUGCCGCGUGAGUGAUGAAGGCCUUAGGGUCGUAAAGCUCUUUCGCCAGGGAUGAUAAUGACAGUACCUGGUAAAGAAACCCCGGCUAACUCCGUGCCAGCAGCCGCGGUAAUACGGAGGGGGUUAGCGUUGUUCGGAAUUACUGGGCGUAAAGCGCGCGUAGGCGGAUUGGAAAGUUGGGGGUGAAAUCCCAGGGCUCAACCCUGGAACUGCCUCCAAAACUAUCAGUCUAGAGUUCGAGAGAGGUGAGUGGAACUCCGAGUGUAGAGGUGAAAUUCGUAGAUAUUCGGAAGAACACCAGUGGCGAAGGCGGCUCACUGGCUCGAUACUGACGCUGAGGUGCGAAAGUGUGGGGAGCAAACAGGAUUAGAUACCCUGGUAGUC